GGGGAGUUGGCUCAGUGGUAGAGCGCUUGUCUUGCAUGCAUGAGGCCCCUGGGUUCGAUUCCUCA
This 65-nucleotide transfer RNA is filed under the name Dipodomys ordii (Ord's kangaroo rat). It matches the Rfam family "tRNA". Rfam says of the family: Transfer RNA (tRNA) molecules are approximately 80 nucleotides in length. Their secondary structure includes four short double-helical elements and three loops (D, anti-codon, and T loops). The record is from Rfam by way of RNAcentral. Lineage: Eukaryota; Metazoa; Chordata; Mammalia; Rodentia; Heteromyidae.